Molecule: ribosomal RNA, 442 nt
Filed under: Corbicula fluminea
Lineage: Eukaryota; Metazoa; Mollusca; Bivalvia; Venerida; Cyrenidae
Description: partial 16S large subunit ribosomal RNA
Rfam family: Bacterial large subunit ribosomal RNA
Source: RNAcentral
AAGGUUGGGCCUGCCCGGUGAUCUGAAAUGGUUUAACGGCUGCGAUUGAAACCGUACUAAGGUAGCAUAAUAAUUUGCCCUUUAAUUGGGGGAGAGAAUGAAUGGUUUGACGGUAAAAAAGCUGUUUUAAAAAUAAAAAAAGAAGUUAACUUUUAAGUGAAAAGGCUUAAGUUUUUAUAAAAGACGAGAAGACCCCGUCGAGCUUAAUUAGAAUAACUUAAAUGUAGGUUAUUUAAAAUUUUAUUGGGGCAAUAGAAAAUGAAAUGAAUCAUUUUUUUUAUUAUAAGGAUCCAGUUUUGACUGAAAAAAGCAAAAGCUACCGCGGGGAUAACAGGGUAAUUUUUUCUGAGAGUUCAUAUUUAAGAAGAAGUUUGCUACCUCGAUGUUGGAUUAGAAUUUCUUUAUGCUUGCAGCAGGUAUAAUAGUAGGACUGUUCGUCCUU